AGCGAACGCUGGCGGCAGGCUUAACACAUGCAAGUCGAACGGGCAUAGCAAUAUGUCAGUGGCAGACGGGUGCGUAACGCGUGGGAACGUACCUUUUGGUUCGGAACAACACAGGGAAACUUGUGCUAAUACCGGAUAAGCCCUUACGGGGAAAGAUUUAUCGCCGAAAGAUCGGCCCGCGUCUGAUUAGCUAGUUGGUAGGGUAAUGGCCUACCAAGGCGACGAUCAGUAGCUGGUCUGAGAGGAUGAUCAGCCACAUUGGGACUGAGACACGGCCCAAACUCCUACGGGAGGCAGCAGUGGGGAAUAUUGGGCAAUGGGCGAAAGCCUGAUCCAGCCAUGCCGCGUGAGUGAUGAAGGCCCUAGGGUUGUAAAGCUCUUUUGUGCGGGAAGAUAAUGACGGUACCGCAAGAAUAAGCCCCGGCUAACUUCGUG
This 435-nucleotide ribosomal RNA is filed under the name uncultured bacterium. RNAcentral's name for it is "partial 16S ribosomal RNA". It matches the Rfam family "Bacterial small subunit ribosomal RNA", at positions 29 to 507 of the family's 1533-position model. The record is from RNAcentral.